AAUGAACGCUGGCGGCGUGCCUAAUACAUGCAAGUCGAGCGGCAGCACGGUCUUCGGACUGGUGGCGAGCGGCGGACGGCUGAGUAACGCGUAGGAACAUGCCCUAAAGUGAGGAAUAACUGCCCGAAAGGGUGGCUAAUGCCGCAUGUGCUCUUCGGAGUAAAGCUUUAUGCGCUUUAGGAGUGGCCUGCGUCCGAUUAGCUAGUUGGUGAGGUAAAUGCUCACCAAGGCGACGAUCGGUAGCUGGUCUGAGAGGAUGAUCAGCCAGACUGGAACUGAGAACGGUCCAGACUCCUACGGGAGGCAGCAGAAGGGAAUUUUCCACAAUGGGCGAGAGCCUGAUGGAGCAACGCCGCGUGCAGGAUGAAUGCCUUCGGGUUGUAAACUGCUUUUAUGUGCGAAGAAUUUGACUGUAACACAUGAAUAAGGAUCGGCUAACUACGUGCCAGCAGCCGCGGUAA
RNAcentral lists this ribosomal RNA (461 nucleotides) under uncultured bacterium. Its description in RNAcentral is "partial 16S ribosomal RNA". It matches the Rfam family "Bacterial small subunit ribosomal RNA", at positions 29 to 523 of the family's 1533-position model. The record is from RNAcentral.